Molecule: small nuclear RNA, 104 nt
Organism: Suncus etruscus (white-toothed pygmy shrew)
Lineage: Eukaryota; Metazoa; Chordata; Mammalia; Eulipotyphla; Soricidae
Source: RefSeq, a predicted model, not a curated record
GUGCUUGCUUUGGUAGCACAUAUACUAAAAUUGGAAUAAUACAGAAGUUAGCAUGGCCCCUGUGCAAGGAUUGCACGCAAAUUUGUGAAGCAUACCAUAUUUGG